Molecule: long non-coding RNA, 1492 nt
Organism: Lutra lutra (Eurasian river otter)
Lineage: Eukaryota; Metazoa; Chordata; Mammalia; Carnivora; Mustelidae
Exons: 4
Source: RefSeq, a predicted model, not a curated record
UAGAGAACCUCUCAACAUACAUGGGCCUGCCAAGAACUGUAUCAACUAUGGCAGCAUCAACAGAUUUCAAGAAUUCAGGGCCAUUCAGCUUCCUCCCAGAACAGCAAUCAAUCUCCUUUGGCUCAGCAAACUUUCAAGCAGUGUGAAGCUGCAUGACAAUUCAGCACAGGUGUAUAGCCAGCACUGAUUUGGCCCGGUGACUCAAGAUAAAAACCUGAUCUGUGAAGCCAGCUGCUUCCACUGGUGGGUUAUUUUUGCUGUCAGCAGCCAUACUGCCAUGACAAGCAUCUUUUAUAAACAUGUUCUUGACAUGAAAGCCACAUUAGCCCCAGGAAGAGCUUUACUCAAAGUUUCAUGGUGUACACAUUUCAACAAACUUGCUACAACUGUAAUGGUGAUUGAAGCGAACGUGACCAUCAUCACAGGUUUUGAGAAUACCCGUCUCCACUUGGCCCAAAGGGACAGCACCAAUACCACCCGAUUUUGUGGAUGUCAUGGAGAAACAGGCACAAGCAUCUGUCAGAUGGAUGAGCUGGUAGCAAGAUAUCCAGAACUAUAAGUAGCAUGGUUCCACUGGCAUUUUCAUCUUUACAGUUCCAUUAAUCCAGAACGAAUGGGUUUCUCCCUGCAACCUGUCAAUCAAACAGAGGUGGCCAAUCACCACUCUGAAUUUUUUUUGCUCUCAGUGCUUCUUCAGACUAUGUUCCAGUUGAAACUUCUUUAGCAGUGUUCUGAAAGAGGUAAAAGUUCUAACCUAUCUAAAGCACAUCUAGGGACUGAAUUUCAGAAAACAACUAAAAUAGGGAGUUGACCUCCCUAACAAAUAACAACUAAGGAUGAUUUUCAACAAAUGCGAUUGGAUUUCUGGAUUAGCAGAAUCGGAACGCACACACAUUAUCAGAUUGGAUUGCUGAAGGCACCUCCCCAACAAAUUACAUAGAAGCAUUACAGCUCAAUACAAUUUCUGCCUUUGACUUUUGUGGGAGAUCUUUCCUCCCCCUGGGUCUUCCUUAAGGAGUGGAACAAAUUGCUGCUCUAUUUCUAGAAAUAUCUACUCAGCCUGAUCAUGGACUUCCCAGUUUCAAGACGGCUAGAUGUUCAAUAGUUAACUUCAAAGGUUCCCUGAAGAAAUUCAAAAUAAAAAGUCAGAGACUUUAUGAAAAAAAUAAGAUAAUUUGCUUCACCUAUAUAGAUAUGAAAUUCAACAUUAAACCCAGUAAGCAACCUGGAAAAAUAGGGGACACAAACUAAAAGGGGUAAUGACUGACUAGUGCUUCCUAAUUACUAUUCCAACUGUUUGCCAGACAUACAACAGGAAGGCAGGGCGCACAGAUGAUACCUCUGAUCACAACUAUGACCUUAAAAAGAAUCUCCUCUCAUUAUUUACAAAAAAGAAAAGAAAACACAGCUACAAAGGCAACAAUUUGAACUCAAAUAAGCAAACCGUCAUUCUUCAAAGUGUUUCCCCUUUUUUGGUCAAUCAUAAGUUUGA